This 253-nucleotide unclassified non-coding RNA is filed under the name uncultured Stenotrophomonas bacterium. RNAcentral describes it as "contains 16S-23S intergenic spacer region". It matches the Rfam family "Bacterial small subunit ribosomal RNA", at positions 524 to 776 of the family's 1533-position model. Lineage: Bacteria; Pseudomonadati; Pseudomonadota; Gammaproteobacteria; Lysobacterales; Lysobacteraceae. The record is from RNAcentral.
UACGGAGGGUGCAAGCGUUAAUCGGAAUUACUGGGCGUAAAGCGUGCGUAGGUGGUUAUUUAAGUCCGUUGUGAAAGCCCUGGGCUCAACCUGGGAACUGCAGUGGAUACUGGAUGACUAGAAUGUGGUAGAGGGUAGCGGAAUUCCUGGUGUAGCAGUGAAAUGCGUAGAGAUCAGGAGGAACAUCCAUGGCGAAGGCAGCUACCUGGACCAACAUUGACACUGAGGCACGAAAGCGUGGGGAGCAAACAGG